This is a long non-coding RNA of Nanorana parkeri, 140 nucleotides long. RefSeq lists it as uncharacterized. The transcript has 4 exons. The record is from RefSeq and is a predicted model, not a curated record. NCBI's taxonomy places the organism in Eukaryota, Metazoa, Chordata, Amphibia, Anura, Dicroglossidae.
AAUCAUACAGGGUGGGCCACGGAAAGGUAGCCCGCCUCCGGCGAUAGUAUGACAAGAUGAACAAGCAAGUGGAUUGUUUCUAUUCACUUACCCACAAGUUACAACAGAUGCUGAAAGCUGGCAUACCUCACAUGGGAAGA